GUGUAAGACAUCCUUUCCUUCGUCUUCUGCCAUGAUUGUGAGGCAUCCCCAGCCAUGUGGAACUACAGCCCUGAGCGACACAGACAAGAGGAUUCUUGGAAGGGGCCUAACCGAACUGCAGCCACCGAGGCAUUACCAGUGUGGUUGAGAAGAUGGGUUUUGGAGGAGUGAAACAGAGAUCAAAGGGGAGCUUGUAUUCCCCCCAGCAAAAGAAAAAGACCAUGUAGGAGAUGAAGAUGCCUAGGAUCCCUUUCAAAUCAUCAAACAACAGAGAUUUCUCAAAGAACUAAGAGUGGCACUCCCAUUCAACCCAGUAAUCUCAUUACUGGAUAUAUACCCAAAGGAAAAUAAAUCAUUCUACCAAAAAGACACAUAUAUACACAUGUUCAUGGCAGCACUAUUCACAAUACCAAAGAUAUGGAGUCAACCCAAGGUGCCCAUCAACAGUGGAUUGGAUAAAGAAAAUGUGAUGUGGUACAUAUAGAUCAUGGAAUACUAUGCGGCAAUA
Symphalangus syndactylus (siamang) is the source of this 508-nucleotide long non-coding RNA. RefSeq lists it as uncharacterized. The record is from RefSeq and is a predicted model, not a curated record. Lineage: Eukaryota; Metazoa; Chordata; Mammalia; Primates; Hylobatidae.